UUUUAGAUCUUCAGCAUUUGGGGGGAGGCAGAUUGUGGACCCCCACUGCGCCAAUCUUCCAAAAGGUUGUGUGGGCCUCUGAAGGUGGAGGCCUCCCCCAGCCGACCUUGGGGAGGAAAAGUUCAGAGAUUUUGCAAUUAGCCAAGUGACUGAAACUAUUUCCGCUUUUGCUGCUGUUGUAGCCUGGCAGGGAAGGCAAAGACCUGGAGCUGGAGCCAGAGCUGGGUGCCUCACUGUGCUGCGUGGACACUCCACAAGAAGGCAGCAGAACCCUGUGAUGCCAGGGGUCAUGGUCCAGCAUCUCCCUUUCCACCUGGAAGAGCACAGCCCUGCCAGCUUGGCUUUCAUUUCUUUCGUGGAUCCUCCUUGCUUCCUGCCAGGAAAGGAGAAAGGGAAGAGAAGGGAUAGAGGUGGGCUCUCUAGGUGAGCGCAUCAGCUGGCCCCAGCCCGCACAGACAAGAAUUCUCUUCGCAGGAAGCUCCUCUCUUUCCCGCUGCCGCCCACCCCCA
Long non-coding RNA from Talpa occidentalis (Iberian mole), 509 nucleotides. RefSeq lists it as uncharacterized. The record is from RefSeq and is a predicted model, not a curated record. Lineage: Eukaryota; Metazoa; Chordata; Mammalia; Eulipotyphla; Talpidae. The transcript is spliced from 3 exons.